RNAcentral lists this ribosomal RNA (1081 nucleotides) under uncultured bacterium. RNAcentral's name for it is "bacterial SSU rRNA". It matches the Rfam family "Bacterial small subunit ribosomal RNA", at positions 39 to 1143 of the family's 1533-position model. The record is from RNAcentral.
CAAGGCGCGUGCUACCAUGCAAGUCGAACGAGAACGGUUCUUUCGGGAAUCUAGUAAAGUGGCGAACGGGUGAGUAACGCGUGGAUGAUCUGCCCUGAAGCGGGGGAUAACUCGGGGAAACCCGGGCUAAUACCGCAUAAUCCCUACGGGGGAAAGGUUUUCGAAUCGCUUUGGGAGGAGUCCGCGUCCGAUUAGCUGGUUGGUGAGGUAAGAGCUCACCAAGGCGACGAUUGGUAGCCGGUCUGAGAGGACGGACGGCCACACUGGAACUGAGACACGGUCCAGACUCCUACGGGAGGCAGCAGUGGGGAAUUUUGGGCAAUGGGGGCAACCCUGACCCAGCAACGCCGCGUGGAGGAAGAAGGUUUUCGGAUCGUAAACUCCUGUCCCGAGGGACGAAGCAAGUGACGGUACCUCGGGAGGAAGCCCCGGCUAACUCCGUGCCAGCAGCCGCGGUAAUACGGGGGGGGCAAGCGUUGUUCGGAAUUACUGGGCGUAAAGGGCGCGCAGGCGGUUUCGUCAGUCAUGGGUGAAAGCCCCGGGCUCAACCCGGGAAGGGCCUGUGAAACCACGGAACUGGAGUGCUGGAGAGGGAAGCGGAAUUCCCAGUGUAGCGGUGAAAUGCGUAGAUAUUGGGAGGAACAUCGGUGGCGAAGGCGGCUUCCUGGACAGACACUGACGCUGAGGCGCGAAAGCCAGGGGAGCGAACGGGAUUAGAUACCCCGGUAGUCCUGGCUGUAAACGAUGAAUACUUGGUGUAGGGGGUAGGAAAGUCCCUCUGUGCCGCAGAGAACUCGAUAAGUAUUCCGCCUGGGGAGUACGGCCGCAAGGCUGAAACUCAAAGGAAUUGACGGGGGCCCGCACAAGCGGUGGAGCAUGUGGUUUAAUUCGACGCAACGCGAAGAACCUUACCGGGGUUUGAACUCGGCCGGCGACCUCUGGAGACAGGGGGUUCCUUUCGGGACAGGUCGAGAGGUGCUGCAUGGCUGUCGUCAGCUCGUGUCGUGAGAUGUUGGAUCAGUCCCGCAACGAGCGCAUCCCUUGUCUGUAGUUGCCAUCAAGUAAGCUUGGGCCACUCUAC